AUAAAGGCCUUAUUCUGGAACAUUAGAGGUUUCGGUGCUAGGGGGCGCAGGGACCAGCUUAAAGAUCUGGUGCAUUCUGAAAAUGUUGAUUUUAUUGGCCUUGUCGAGACUCUCAAAUCCUCUUUCUCCCCUAGCGAACUCUCGGCCGUUGCUGGGAUAGAUAGAUUUAAUUGGAACUUUGUGGCCUCUGCUGGACAUUCGGGUGGUAUUCUCCUUGGUACCAAAAAAGAUGUUUUCGAUUUUGUUGCUUUUGACCAUGGCAUCUUUUGGGCUAGUACGGUGGUAUAUCAUCGAACUCUCAACUCUUUACUAGAAAUCAUGGUGGUCUAUGGUCCGGCUGACCACUCUAUGUCAUACAUUUUUCUAGAUGAACUUAGUAAUAAAAUUGAAUCCUGCCAGCUGCCUCUCCUGAUUGGGGGUGAUUUUAAUUUGAUGCAAUAUCCUUCUGAUAAGAGCUCCUCUAUUUUUUCUUGGCCUCUGGCUGAUGCCUUCAAUGCUUUCAUUAGGGACACAACUAUUCGUGAAAUUCCUAGGGUUGGGGCCCGUUACACUUGGACUAACCGCCAAACCUCCCCCAUUCGUUCUGUCCUUGAUAGGUUUUUUUAUGUCCUAAUUGGGAUUCACUGUUCCCCCGUGUGA
This 639-nucleotide ribosomal RNA is filed under the name Triticum aestivum (bread wheat). Its description in RNAcentral is "partial small subunit ribosomal RNA". The record is from RNAcentral. Lineage: Eukaryota; Viridiplantae; Streptophyta; Magnoliopsida; Poales; Poaceae.